RNAcentral lists this ribosomal RNA (433 nucleotides) under uncultured bacterium. Its description in RNAcentral is "partial 16S ribosomal RNA". It matches the Rfam family "Bacterial small subunit ribosomal RNA", at positions 29 to 507 of the family's 1533-position model. The record is from RNAcentral.
AACGAACGCUGGCGGCAGGCCUAACACAUGCAAGUCGAGCGAGGACUUCGGUUCUAGCGGCGGACGGGUGAGUAACGCGUGGGAAUGUGCCCUUCUCUACGGAAUAGCCCUGGGAAACUGGGAGUAAUACCGUAUACGCCCUAUUGGGGAAAGAUUUAUCGGAGAAGGAUCAGCCCGCGUUGGAUUAGGUAGUUGGUGGGGUAAUGGCCUACCAAGCCGACGAUCCAUAGCUGGUUUGAGAGGAUGAUCAGCCACGCUGGGACUGAGACACGGCCCAGACUCCUACGGGAGGCAGCAGUGGGGAAUCUUAGACAAUGGGGGCAACCCUGAUCUAGCCAUGCCGCGUGAGUGAUGAAGGCCUUAGGGUUGUAAAGCUCUUUCAGCUGGGAAGAUAAUGACGGUACCAGCAGAAGAAGCCCCGGCUAACUCCGUG